This 253-nucleotide ribosomal RNA is filed under the name uncultured bacterium. RNAcentral describes it as "partial 16S ribosomal RNA". It matches the Rfam family "Bacterial small subunit ribosomal RNA", at positions 524 to 776 of the family's 1533-position model. The record is from RNAcentral.
UACGUAGGGUGCGAGCGUUAAUCGGAAUUACUGGGCGUAAAGCGUGCGCAGGCGGUUCGUCGUGUCCGAUGUGAAAGCCCCGGGCUCAACCUGGGAAUGGCAUUGGAAACUGGCGGACUCGAGUGUGGCAGAGGGGGGUGGAAUUCCACGUGUAGCAGUGAAAUGCGUAGAGAUGUGGAGGAACACCGAUGGCGAAGGCAGCCCCCUGGGCUGAGAUUGACGCUCAGGCACGAAAGCGUGGGGAGCAAACAGG